This is a long non-coding RNA of Alosa sapidissima (American shad), 717 nucleotides long. RefSeq lists it as uncharacterized. NCBI's taxonomy places the organism in Eukaryota, Metazoa, Chordata, Actinopteri, Clupeiformes, Clupeidae. The record is from RefSeq and is a predicted model, not a curated record. The transcript has 2 exons.
GUGGCACACCUGUACUUGGCCCACCUGUAGAGGAGACGCAAGACAGGAAAAGAGCAACAAGGAGGAGGAGCCCGGCAGGUCCGUGACACACACACACUCACCCAUACAUCACACAUCUCAACAUCCAACAGCUAUCUAGAAGGUCACACACACACACACAUACAUACAUCACACAUCUCAACAUCCAACACAUAUCUAGAAGGUCACACACACACACACACACUCCCUUUCUCCUCUGUGCUCUCUAUAUUUGUUUGACUGAUGACUCAUUUCAGAGAGUUUACUAAGGGUUAAAUGAUGUAAAACGGUUUAUUUCUGUUCAGAUGCAUAUUUGUAUUCAUGGCUUAAUAGAAAGUUACUGUUUUAAGAAAAGGAUGUUUUAAAGUUUUUACAGCAUUCUUAUUUGUUGUGACGACCGCAUACAAUACUGUGUAAAGCACUCAAAGCAAUGCUUUUCUAAUGCGCACUGAUCCUUCAACAUAGAGUUCCCUUCAGUAUAGAGUUCCCUUCAGCAUAGAGUUCCCUCCCAGCACACUGACCCUUCAGCAUAGAGUUCCCUCCAGCAUCUGUGGCCGUAGGGGAGUGUGAGCUGCCAGACUCCACACACUCUUCACACACUCCUGUAAGACUUGCACAGGUCCACACACUCCUGCUCUACUCUGUGCUUCUUGGUGGCCACCCCUGAUUUGAUGGGAAUAAAGGGAAACUGCUGAAUGA